This 728-nucleotide long non-coding RNA is filed under the name Homo sapiens (human). RNAcentral describes it as "non-protein coding LINC01366:10". The record is from RNAcentral. Lineage: Eukaryota; Metazoa; Chordata; Mammalia; Primates; Hominidae.
AGAAGGAGUUGCUGAGAAGGAGCUGUGGUUCUGACCUUCAGGGGAAUUCCCACGUCUGUAUGGUGGCUCGUGAAGAGCAUGGUUCCUUUUCUCAGCCCUCUUGAGGGGCGAGGAUGCUGAGGACUGAAGUCGGUGGGGCUUGAUGCAUGUGGUCACUGAGAGGCUGCCAGAGGGCCAUUUUCAUGACCAGAGGGAUCUGUUCAACACCCUGUGGGUCCCAGCACCUAUCUCAGGAAGCAGGGUGCAUCUGUCCACCACCAAGUCUCAGGGUGGCUGGGUGAGCGCUCAUCAGUCCCAGACAGCAGGUUGGCACAAAACGACACUGCCCACAAAACCACAGGAAGAAGAGAAACUCCGACUGUCUUUCAGCACACAGAAGACACUGUACUGGACCCGGACAUUAGGCAGACACCCACGCCUGACUUUCAGGAGAAAAGAGAACAUGACUAACGGAUAUUCUUAGUAGAUGGUUUAUUAGAAAAGAGAACAUCUUCCAGCAUGUGUCCUGGGGUGAUGGGUGUGGGAAGCACUCAGUCCAUAGUCCUGGUCCCUGGCUUCCCCAAGCCCAGCACCAUGAAUGUACAGUGGAAAGCAGAGGGUGCAGCGUCUCAGAAAGAUGCUUCCACUCACAAGGAUUGGAGCUCACAAGUGAGCUCCAUAACCUGCAAACCAGAGAAACCUGAGACACUGCCCCUUGGCCAUUUUAUCAACGGAGACUUUAUUGUGAU